UAGGGAAUUUUCGGCAAUGGGCGAAAGCCUGACCGAGCAAUGCCGCGUGAGUGAUGAAGGCCUUCGGGUUGUAAAGCUCUGUUAUAGGGGAAGAAAAAGUAGUGAAUGCUACAUAUUGACGGUACCCUAUUAGAAAGCCAUGGCUAACUACGUGCCAGCAGCCGCGGUAAUACGUAGAUGGCAAGCGUUAUCCGGAAUUAUUGGGCGUAAAGAGUGAGUAGGCGGUUAAGCAAGUUCUUAGUUAAAACUUGUGGCUCAACCAUAAGUUGCAUAGAAAACUGUUUAACUAGAGUCAAAGAGAGGCCAGUAGAACUCCUAAUGUAGCGGUGGAAUGCGUAGAUAUUAGGAAGAAUACCAGUGGCGAAGGCGGCUGGCUAGCUUUGAACUGACGCUGAGUCACGAAAGCGUGGGGAGCAAAUAGG
Molecule: ribosomal RNA, 422 nt
Filed under: uncultured prokaryote
Also listed under: 1 other name
Description: bacterial SSU rRNA
Rfam family: Bacterial small subunit ribosomal RNA
Source: RNAcentral